UGAUUGUUACCUUCAUCUUGCUCUCCUG
This 28-nucleotide non-coding RNA is filed under the name Homo sapiens (human). The record is from RNAcentral. Lineage: Eukaryota; Metazoa; Chordata; Mammalia; Primates; Hominidae.